This 72-nucleotide transfer RNA is filed under the name Candidatus Woesearchaeota archaeon. RNAcentral's name for it is "tRNA-Phe". It matches the Rfam family "tRNA". From Rfam's summary of the family: Transfer RNA (tRNA) molecules are approximately 80 nucleotides in length. Their secondary structure includes four short double-helical elements and three loops (D, anti-codon, and T loops). Further hydrogen bonds mediate the characteristic L-shaped molecular structure. tRNAs have two regions of fundamental functional importance: the anti-codon, which is responsible for specific mRNA codon recognition, and the 3' end, to which the tRNAs corresponding amino acid is attached (by aminoacyl-tRNA synthetases). tRNAs cope with the degeneracy of the genetic code in two manners: having more than one tRNA (with a specific anti-codon) for a particular amino acid; and 'wobble' base-pairing, i.e. permitting non-standard base-pairing at the 3rd anti-codon position. Lineage: Archaea; Nanobdellati; Candidatus Woesearchaeota. The record is from RNAcentral.
GGGCCUGUAGCUUAGCGGGAAAGCGCGCGACUGAAGAUCGUGAGAUCGUUGGUUCAAAUCCGACCAGGCCCA